This 2920-nucleotide ribosomal RNA is filed under the name Staphylococcus aureus M1007. RNAcentral's name for it is "bacterial LSU rRNA". It matches the Rfam family "Bacterial large subunit ribosomal RNA". The record is from RNAcentral. Lineage: Bacteria; Bacillati; Bacillota; Bacilli; Caryophanales; Staphylococcaceae.
UAAGUUAUUAAGGGCGCACGGUGGAUGCCUUGGCACUAGAAGCCGAUGAAGGACGUUACUAACGACGAUAUGCUUUGGGGAGCUGUAAGUAAGCUUUGAUCCAGAGAUUUCCGAAUGGGGAAACCCAGCAUGAGUUAUGUCAUGUUAUCGAUAUGUGAAUACAUAGCAUAUCAGAAGGCACACCCGGAGAACUGAAACAUCUUAGUACCCGGAGGAAGAGAAAGAAAAUUCGAUUCCCUUAGUAGCGGCGAGCGAAACGGGAAGAGCCCAAACCAACAAGCUUGCUUGUUGGGGUUGUAGGACACUCUAUACGGAGUUACAAAGGACGACAUUAGACGAAUCAUCUGGAAAGAUGAAUCAAAGAAGGUAAUAAUCCUGUAGUCGAAAAUGUUGUCUCUCUUGAGUGGAUCCUGAGUACGACGGAGCACGUGAAAUUCCGUCGGAAUCUGGGAGGACCAUCUCCUAAGGCUAAAUACUCUCUAGUGACCGAUAGUGAACCAGUACCGUGAGGGAAAGGUGAAAAGCACCCCGGAAGGGGAGUGAAAUAGAACCUGAAACCGUGUGCUUACAAGUAGUCAGAGCCCGUUAAUGGGUGAUGGCGUGCCUUUUGUAGAAUGAACCGGCGAGUUACGAUUUGAUGCAAGGUUAAGCAGUAAAUGUGGAGCCGUAGCGAAAGCGAGUCUGAAUAGGGCGUUUAGUAUUUGGUCGUAGACCCGAAACCAGGUGAUCUACCCUUGGUCAGGUUGAAGUUCAGGUAACACUGAAUGGAGGACCGAACCGACUUACGUUGAAAAGUGAGCGGAUGAACUGAGGGUAGCGGAGAAAUUCCAAUCGAACCUGGAGAUAGCUGGUUCUCUCCGAAAUAGCUUUAGGGCUAGCCUCAAGUGAUGAUUAUUGGAGGUAGAGCACUGUUUGGACGAGGGGCCCCUCUCGGGUUACCGAAUUCAGACAAACUCCGAAUGCCAAUUAAUUUAACUUGGGAGUCAGAACAUGGGUGAUAAGGUCCGUGUUCGAAAGGGAAACAGCCCAGACCACCAGCUAAGGUCCCAAAAUAUAUGUUAAGUGGAAAAGGAUGUGGCGUUGCCCAGACAACUAGGAUGUUGGCUUAGAAGCAGCCAUCAUUUAAAGAGUGCGUAAUAGCUCACUAGUCGAGUGACACUGCGCCGAAAAUGUACCGGGGCUAAACAUAUUACCGAAGCUGUGGAUUGUCCUUUGGACAAUGGUAGGAGAGCGUUCUAAGGGCGUUGAAGCAUGAUCGUAAGGACAUGUGGAGCGCUUAGAAGUGAGAAUGCCGGUGUGAGUAGCGAAAGACGGGUGAGAAUCCCGUCCACCGAUUGACUAAGGUUUCCAGAGGAAGGCUCGUCCGCUCUGGGUUAGUCGGGUCCUAAGCUGAGGCCGACAGGCGUAGGCGAUGGAUAACAGGUUGAUAUUCCUGUACCACCUAUAAUCGUUUUAAUCGAUGGGGGGACGCAGUAGGAUAGGCGAAGCGUGCGAUUGGAUUGCACGUCUAAGCAGUAAGGCUGAGUAUUAGGCAAAUCCGGUACUCGUUAAGGCUGAGCUGUGAUGGGGAGAAGACAUUGUGUCUUCGAGUCGUUGAUUUCACACUGCCGAGAAAAGCCUCUAGAUAGAAAAUAGGUGCCCGUACCGCAAACCGACACAGGUAGUCAAGAUGAGAAUUCUAAGGUGAGCGAGCGAACUCUCGUUAAGGAACUCGGCAAAAUGACCCCGUAACUUCGGGAGAAGGGGUGCUCUUUAGGGUUAACGCCCAGAAGAGCCGCAGUGAAUAGGCCCAAGCGACUGUUUAUCAAAAACACAGGUCUCUGCUAAACCGUAAGGUGAUGUAUAGGGGCUGACGCCUGCCCGGUGCUGGAAGGUUAAGAGGAGUGGUUAGCUUCUGCGAAGCUACGAAUCGAAGCCCCAGUAAACGGCGGCCGUAACUAUAACGGUCCUAAGGUAGCGAAAUUCCUUGUCGGGUAAGUUCCGACCCGCACGAAAGGCGUAACGAUUUGGGCACUGUCUCAACGAGAGACUCGGUGAAAUCAUAGUACCUGUGAAGAUGCAGGUUACCCGCGACAGGACGGAAAGACCCCGUGGAGCUUUACUGUAGCCUGAUAUUGAAAUUCGGCACAGCUUGUACAGGAUAGGUAGGAGCCUUUGAAACGUGAGCGCUAGCUUACGUGGAGGCGCUGGUGGGAUACUACCCUAGCUGUGUUGGCUUUCUAACCCGCACCACUUAUCGUGGUGGGAGACAGUGUCAGGCGGGCAGUUUGACUGGGGCGGUCGCCUCCUAAAAGGUAACGGAGGCGCUCAAAGGUUCCCUCAGAAUGGUUGGAAAUCAUUCAUAGAGUGUAAAGGCAUAAGGGAGCUUGACUGCGAGACCUACAAGUCGAGCAGGGUCGAAAGACGGACUUAGUGAUCCGGUGGUUCCGCAUGGAAGGGCCAUCGCUCAACGGAUAAAAGCUACCCCGGGGAUAACAGGCUUAUCUCCCCCAAGAGUUCACAUCGACGGGGAGGUUUGGCACCUCGAUGUCGGCUCAUCGCAUCCUGGGGCUGUAGUCGGUCCCAAGGGUUGGGCUGUUCGCCCAUUAAAGCGGUACGCGAGCUGGGUUCAGAACGUCGUGAGACAGUUCGGUCCCUAUCCGUCGUGGGCGUAGGAAAUUUGAGAGGAGCUGUCCUUAGUACGAGAGGACCGGGAUGGACAUACCUCUGGUGUACCAGUUGUCGUGCCAACGGCAUAGCUGGGUAGCUAUGUGUGGACGGGAUAAGUGCUGAAAGCAUCUAAGCAUGAAGCCCCCCUCAAGAUGAGAUUUCCCAACUUCGGUUAUAAGAUCCCUCAAAGAUGAUGAGGUUAAUAGGUUCGAGGUGGAAGCAUGGUGACAUGUGGAGCUGACGAAUACUAAUCGAUCGAAGACUUAAUCAA